Bufo bufo (common toad) is the source of this 71-nucleotide small nucleolar RNA. RefSeq annotates it as small nucleolar RNA SNORD83. NCBI's taxonomy places the organism in Eukaryota, Metazoa, Chordata, Amphibia, Anura, Bufonidae. The record is from RefSeq and is a predicted model, not a curated record. The transcript has a single exon.
GCCAUAUGAUGUGUAUGUUUGAUGAACGCUGUAAUGAUGACUCUACAUCUAUCACCCUAUAACUGAUGGCU